This 200-nucleotide long non-coding RNA is filed under the name Sorghum bicolor (sorghum). RNAcentral describes it as "long non-coding RNA (SBIC_LNC015163)". Lineage: Eukaryota; Viridiplantae; Streptophyta; Magnoliopsida; Poales; Poaceae. The record is from RNAcentral.
CCAUCAACAAUAUAGUGCGUACUCUCCUACAUUCUUCCAUGUCUUCUGUCUACUAGGCCGAAGCUCUCACCACAACCACCUAUCUUCUUAAUCGCCACCCAUACUUCUCCAUAUACAAUGAGAUCCCUUCACUUGCCUCUUGGUCAGCAACCUGAUAUUUUUAUCUUUGUGUCUUCGAGUGCCUCUACUACCAGAACCGC